ACAGAGACUGCAAGCGUUAUUCGGAUUCACUGGGCGUAAAGGGUGCGCAGGCGGUCGCGUGUGUCAGGUGUGAAAGCCCGAGGCUUAACCUCGGAAUUGCGCCUGAAACUACGUGACUAGAGCAUUGGAGAGGGUAGCGGAAUUCACGGUGUAGCAGUGGAAUGCGUAGAUAUCGUGAGGAACACCAGAGGCGAAGGCGGCUACCUGGACAAUUGCUGACGCUCAGGCACGAAAGCGUGGGGAGCAAAAGG
RNAcentral lists this ribosomal RNA (251 nucleotides) under uncultured prokaryote. Its description in RNAcentral is "partial 16S rRNA". It matches the Rfam family "Bacterial small subunit ribosomal RNA", at positions 525 to 775 of the family's 1533-position model. The record is from RNAcentral.